Molecule: ribosomal RNA, 439 nt
Filed under: uncultured bacterium
Lineage: Bacteria
Description: partial 16S ribosomal RNA
Rfam family: Bacterial small subunit ribosomal RNA
Source: RNAcentral
CUACGGGAUGCUGCAGUGAGGAAUAUUGCACAAUGGGGGGAACCCUGAUGCAGCAACGCCGCGUGGAGGAUGACGCAUUUCGGUGUGUAAACUCCUUUUAUAUGUCAAGAAAAUGACGGUAGCAUAUGAAUAAGCACUGGCUAACUCCGUGCCAGCAGCCGCGGUAAUACGGAGGGUGCAAGCGUUACUCGGAAUCACUGGGCGUAAAGGACGCGUAGGCGGGUUGGAAAGUCAGGUGUGAAAUCCUACAGCUUAACUGUAGAACUGCACUUGAAACUUCUAAUCUAGAGUAUGGGAGGGGGAGAUGGAAUUAGUGGUGUAGGGGUAAAAUCCGUAGAUAUCACUAGGAAUACCUAAAGCGAAGGCGAUCUCCUGGAACAUUACUGACGCUAAGGCGUGAAAGCGUGGGGAGCAAACAGGAUUAGAUACCCCAGUAGUC